RNAcentral lists this ribosomal RNA (451 nucleotides) under uncultured bacterium. RNAcentral's name for it is "partial 16S ribosomal RNA". It matches the Rfam family "Bacterial small subunit ribosomal RNA", at positions 28 to 507 of the family's 1533-position model. The record is from RNAcentral.
GAUGAAUGCUGGCGGCGUGCCUAACACAUGCAAGUCGAGCGGCAGCGAGGGGUGCUUGCACCGUGUCGGCGAGCGGCGCACGGCUGAGUAACGCGUGGGAAUUUGCCCCAAAGUGAGGAAUAACUGCGCGAAAGGGUAGCUAAUGCCGCAUAGAGUCUUCGGUGUAAAGGAUUUAUCCGCUUUGGGCGAAGCCUGCGUUGGAUUAGGUUGGUGGUAGGGUAAUGGCUUACCAAGCCGACGACCCAUAGCUGGUCUGAGAGGAUGAUCAGCCAGACUGGAACUGAGACACAGUCCAGAAUGCUACGGAAGGGAGCAGUGAGGUAUCUUCCACAAGGGGCGCAAGUCUGAUGGCGCCACGCGGCGUGAAGGAUGCAGGCCUUCGGGUUGUAAUCUUCUUUUAUGCGUGAAGAAUAUGACGGUAACUCAUGAAUAAGCACCGGCUAACUACGUG